RNAcentral lists this small nucleolar RNA (201 nucleotides) under Hanseniaspora valbyensis NRRL Y-1626. Its description in RNAcentral is "Small nucleolar RNA snR8". It matches the Rfam family "Small nucleolar RNA snR8". Lineage: Eukaryota; Fungi; Ascomycota; Saccharomycetes; Saccharomycodales; Saccharomycodaceae. The record is from Rfam by way of RNAcentral.
CCGAUACGAAAUAUUCAGCAUUCUAUUCACUGCACCAUUCAAACUAAUGAAUGAUUGGAGGGGAAAAGAAGCGCAAGAAAAAAAGUAAUGGAAUUGGUUUUUUUUUGAAAAUCAAUUUUAUUCUGGAAAUUACGUCCUCAUACUGAGACAGGAGCUUAAUUGUCUUACUCUUGUAUUGGUAUCUGCGUAUUCCGAACAUCU